Molecule: ribosomal RNA, 430 nt
Filed under: uncultured bacterium
Lineage: Bacteria
Description: bacterial SSU rRNA
Rfam family: Bacterial small subunit ribosomal RNA
Source: RNAcentral
GAUGAACGCUAGCGGUGCGCCUAACACAUGCAAGUCGAGCGAUAUAGCGGCGAACGGGUGAGGAACACGUUGGAACCUGCCCCGGACUCAGGGAUAGCCCGCCGAAAGGUGGAUUAAUACCGGAUAGUCCCCGACCUAGUCGGGGUAAAGCUUUUGCGGUCCGGGAGGGGCCUGCGCAGUAUCAGUUUGUUGGUAGGGUAAUGGCCUACCAAGACUACGACGCUUAACUGGUCUGAGAGGAUGAUCAGUCACAAUGGAACUGAGACACGGUCCAUACUUCUACGGAAGGCAGCAGUGAGGAAUCUUCCGCAAUGGGCGAAAGCCUGACGGAGCGACACCGCGUGGAGGACGACGGCCUUUUGGUUGUAAACUCCUUUUCUGGGGGAAUAAAUGAUGAAGGUACCCCAGGAAUAAGCACCGGCUAACUACG